This 403-nucleotide ribosomal RNA is filed under the name Crocidura wimmeri (Wimmer's shrew). RNAcentral describes it as "partial large subunit ribosomal RNA". It matches the Rfam family "Bacterial large subunit ribosomal RNA", at positions 1982 to 2563 of the family's 2925-position model. The record is from RNAcentral. Lineage: Eukaryota; Metazoa; Chordata; Mammalia; Eulipotyphla; Soricidae.
AGGGACUUGUAUGAAUGGCCCCACGAGGGUUUAACUGUCUCUUACUUUUAAUCAGUGAAAUUGACCUUCCCGUGAAGAGGCGGGAAUAUAACAAUAAGACGAGAAGACCCUAUGGAGCUUAAAUUAAUGUGCUCAACAAAAUUUAAAUUUAGCCCAAUAGGAGUAAUCAUAAUUUAACUGAGCAACAAAUUUUGGUUGGGGUGACCUCGGAGUAUAACAAAACCUCCGAGUGAUUUUAACUAAGACAUACUCGUCAAGGUUACAUAACUUAUUGAUCCAAUCAUAUUGAUCAACGAAACAAGUUACCCUAGGGAUAACAGCGCAAUCCUAUUCGAGAGUUCAUAUCGACAAUAGGGUUUACGACCUCGAUGUUGGAUCAGGACACCCAAAUGGUGCAGCAGCU